UACAGAGGGUGCGAGCGUUGUCCGGAAUCACUGGGCGUAAAGGGCGCGUAGGUGGCGACCCAAGUCGAUGGUGAAAGCUCGCCGCUCAACGGCGAGUCGGCCACUGAUACUGGGUUGCUGGAGCACUGUAGAGGCAGAUGGAAUUCCGGGUGUAGCGGUGGAAUGCGUAGAGAUCCGGAAGAACACCGGUGGCGAAGGCGGUCUGCUGGGCAGUUGCUGACACUGAGGCGCGACAGCGUGGGGAGCGAACAGG
This 253-nucleotide ribosomal RNA is filed under the name uncultured bacterium. Its description in RNAcentral is "partial 16S ribosomal RNA". It matches the Rfam family "Bacterial small subunit ribosomal RNA", at positions 524 to 776 of the family's 1533-position model. The record is from RNAcentral.